CCGAGAGAGUCUGCGAAAGCAAAAAAAAAAAAAAGGAACGAUAGAGAAACUCAUAAAGUUUUGGAAUUAUAUGUCGGAUACGGAUCCCGAAUAAAAGCAUAAGCAUGUGACGCUAGCCCAAGGCAGCAUAAUGUCAUGACCGGUGCCGGAUCGCAUGGGUAGCGUGGCAACCACACCGAAGGACGGAUACACAACCUGGUAGUUUUUCCCUGUAACGACAGAAUGAGCCAAUGGAAUCCUUCGGGACAAGCCUACGUGCGCUAGAGUUGAGCCAAAGGGAAAAUGUAUAUGACAGUUUAUAAAAAGAAAAACAAAGAGAAG
Long non-coding RNA from Corylus avellana, 321 nucleotides. RefSeq lists it as uncharacterized. The record is from RefSeq and is a predicted model, not a curated record. Lineage: Eukaryota; Viridiplantae; Streptophyta; Magnoliopsida; Fagales; Betulaceae.